GCUGGGAGAGCGCUUGCAUGGCAUGCAAGAGGUCAGCGGUUCGAUCCCGCUUAGCUCCACCA
RNAcentral lists this transfer RNA (62 nucleotides) under Escherichia coli. RNAcentral's name for it is "tRNA-Ala". It matches the Rfam family "tRNA", at positions 15 to 71 of the family's 71-position model. From Rfam's summary of the family: Transfer RNA (tRNA) molecules are approximately 80 nucleotides in length. Their secondary structure includes four short double-helical elements and three loops (D, anti-codon, and T loops). Lineage: Bacteria; Pseudomonadati; Pseudomonadota; Gammaproteobacteria; Enterobacterales; Enterobacteriaceae. The record is from RNAcentral. RNAcentral also lists the same sequence under 1 other name.